Molecule: non-coding RNA, 1105 nt
Filed under: Dictyosporella guizhouensis
Lineage: Eukaryota; Fungi; Ascomycota; Sordariomycetes; Junewangiaceae
Description: partial large subunit ribosomal RNA
Rfam family: Eukaryotic large subunit ribosomal RNA
Source: RNAcentral
GGCCCUUACGGGGUCCGAGUUGUAAUCUGUAGAGGAUGCUUUUGGCGACGCGCCUUCCGAGUCCCCUGGAACGGGGCGCCAGAGAGGGUGAGAGCCCCGUAUGGUUGGACGCCGAACCUUUGUAAAGCUCCUUCGACGAGUCGAGUAGUUUGGGAAUGCUGCUCAAAAUGGGAGGUAAAUUUCUUCUAAAGCUAAAUACCGGCCAGAGACCGAUAGCGCACAAGUAGAGUGAUCGAAAGAUGAAAAGCACUUUGAAAAGAGGGUCAAAUAGCACGUGAAAUUGCUGAAAGGGAAGCGCUUGUGACCAGACUUGCGCCCGGUUGAUCAUCCAGCGUUCUCGCUGGUGCACUCUGCCGGGUUCAGGCCAGCAUCGGCUCUCCCAGGGGGAUAAAGGUCGCGGGAACGUAGCUCUCUCCGGGGAGUGUUAUAGCCCGUGGCGGAAUGCCCUUAGGGGGGGCCGAGGCUCGCGUUCGCAAGGAUGCUGGCGUAAUGGUCACCAGCGACCCGUCUUGAAACACGGACCAAGGAGUCAAGCAUUAGGGCGAGUCUUUGGGUGCAAAACCCGCAGGCGCAAUGAAAGUGAACGGAGGUGAGAGCUUCGGCGCAUCAUCGACCGAUCCUGAUGUUCUCGGAUGGAUUUGAGUAAGAGCCUUACCGCUUGGACCCGAAAGAUGGUGAACUAUGCCUGAAUAGGGUGAAGCCAGAGGAAACUCUGGUGGAGGCUCGCAGCGGUUCUGACGUGCAAAUCGAUCGUCAAAUUUGGGCAUGGGGGCGAAAGACUAAUCGAACCAUUAACUAUUACUAGGUGGUUAAGAGGCCCGGUCGCUAAGACCAGGCCUAGUUAUCGGCGCUUACAGCGCUGGUAGCGACACUGUCAAACUGCCGGGGACUGCCUGAUCGAAGCCUAAGCUACCGCUUACCCGCCGAAAGACGGGCAUAGCACCGGGUCUAACGAGCCUGGGUAUGGUAAAAACGCUUAAGCUAGGGCAUAUCCGCAGCCAACUCCUCGUGGUCCCCCCUCCCGGGGCGGCCAGUGGAGGCAGUUCACAGACUAGAUGGCAGUGGGUCCGGCGACGUUUACCGCCGCCGGGCUUAAGAUAUAGUC